This 597-nucleotide small RNA is filed under the name Pongo abelii (Sumatran orangutan). RNAcentral describes it as "processed transcript". The record is from RNAcentral. Lineage: Eukaryota; Metazoa; Chordata; Mammalia; Primates; Hominidae.
GCAGUCCUGACGAGCAGGGGCUGCGGACCGCCCGGCCUUGGACCCAUCCGGAGCCACAGGUUGGAGGAGAUAAGGAGCUGUCCCCGUGCUCAUCGCCCUGUGGAGCAGAUCCCGUCUCCCUGCUGACGGUGGAGCCCGGGAGUUCCAGGGCUUGGGAAGGGGAAGGAAACCUCUCUGAAAUCCGACACCUGCUCUCCCGGCAAGGAAACUUCGCAGGCUGACCGACCAAGACCAUCACUAUGACCGAUGGAGACUAUGAUUAUCUGAUCAAACUCCUGGCCCUCGGGGAUUCAGGGGUGGGGAAGACAACAUUUCUUUAUAGAUACACAGAUAAUAAAUUCAAUCCCAAAUUCAUCACUACAGUAGGAAUAGACUUUCGGGAAAAACGUGUGGUUUAUAAUGCACAAGGACCAAAUGGAUCUUCAGGGAAAGCAUUUAAAGUGCAUCUUCAGCUUUGGGACACUGCGGGACAAGAGCGGCCAACUGCAAGCAAAUGCUUAUUGUGAAAAUCCAGAUAUAGUAUUAAUUGGCAACAAGGCAGACCUAUCAGAACAGAGGGAAGUCAAUGAACGGCAAGCUCGGGAACUGGCUGACAAA